Molecule: non-coding RNA, 112 nt
Organism: Acanthosepion pharaonis
Lineage: Eukaryota; Metazoa; Mollusca; Cephalopoda; Sepiida; Sepiidae
Source: the annotation of a GenBank genome assembly
ACGGUGCAAUCUCGAAGAAAGCACCUGUUCUCAUUCGAUCACCGAAGUUAAGCAUCGUAGAGCCAGGUCAGUACUUAGAUGGGGUUCCGCUUUGGAACACCUGUUACUGUAA